RNAcentral lists this ribosomal RNA (253 nucleotides) under uncultured bacterium. RNAcentral's name for it is "partial 16S ribosomal RNA". It matches the Rfam family "Bacterial small subunit ribosomal RNA", at positions 524 to 776 of the family's 1533-position model. The record is from RNAcentral.
UACGGAGGGAGCAAGCGUUGUUCGGAAUUACUGGGCGUAAAGGGCGCGUAGGCGGCAAUUCAAGUCAGCUGUGAAAGCUCCGGGCUUAACUCGGAACGGUCAGCUGAUACUGCUUUGCUAGAGUGCAGAAGGGGCAAUCGGAAUUCUUGGUGUAGCGGUGAAAUGCGUAGAUAUCAAGAGGAACACCUGAGGUGAAGACGGGUUGCUGGGCUGACACUGACGCUGAGGCGCGAAAGCUAGGGUAGCAAACGGG